UUUUCUGGAUCACUAUAUGGCAGCGGUUUGCAAGAAUGAAUGAAUCAACACAGAAUAUCAUGGGAACAAAGCAAAUUUGAUAACAGAAGUAAACAGGAAACUUUUUAAAAAUGAGCAGAGCAGUUUUCUUUGUUGCAGAAAUGGCUCCAAGGAACAGGAUAAUUGCUAAGAAAUUGGGAAAGAACUUUGUAUACUGAAGUCUCAUUCAUUGUUACAUUUCUAGCUGAAAUGACGAAGCCUAGCCCAAGGAAGAGGUCACGCACAAGAGCGAUCACAAGCGACACGGCUAAGGGCAGAUGCUGUGGUGUUUCCGCCACUCAGAUUAAGACCGCCCGUGUAGCGCCCCUUAAGGGUUUUUUCGCCACGAAGCAGGAAAUCAGCUACUGGUCUGUCGGUCAGAGCUGGUGGAUGGCAUAGAGAA
Molecule: long non-coding RNA, 421 nt
Organism: Bombina bombina (fire-bellied toad)
Lineage: Eukaryota; Metazoa; Chordata; Amphibia; Anura; Bombinatoridae
Exons: 3
Source: RefSeq, a predicted model, not a curated record